This is a small nucleolar RNA of Eptesicus fuscus (big brown bat), 87 nucleotides long. RefSeq annotates it as small nucleolar RNA SNORD71. The record is from RefSeq and is a predicted model, not a curated record. The transcript has a single exon. Lineage: Eukaryota; Metazoa; Chordata; Mammalia; Chiroptera; Vespertilionidae.
UGUGUGUUGGAGGAUGAAAAAUAUAGAGUGAUCCAUCGGCUAAGUGUUUUAUCACGAUGCUGAAACUCAAAUUGCUGACAGCACACU